GGACCCGUAGCUCAAUUGGAUAGAGCACCUCACUACGGAUGAGGAGGUUUGGGGUUCGACUCCCUACGGGUUCA
Molecule: transfer RNA, 74 nt
Filed under: Flavobacteriales bacterium
Lineage: Bacteria; Pseudomonadati; Bacteroidota; Flavobacteriia; Flavobacteriales
Description: tRNA-Arg
Rfam family: tRNA
About the family: Transfer RNA (tRNA) molecules are approximately 80 nucleotides in length.
Source: RNAcentral